AUGGCCACAUCACAUUGAAAUACCAAUUCCCAUACAAUCACUGAAGUUAAGUAAAUAUUGUGCCUGGUUAGUACCAAGAUGGGUGACUAUUUGAGAAUACUAGGUGCUGUGUG
This is a non-coding RNA of Acanthosepion pharaonis, 113 nucleotides long. Lineage: Eukaryota; Metazoa; Mollusca; Cephalopoda; Sepiida; Sepiidae. The record is from the annotation of a GenBank genome assembly.